RNAcentral lists this long non-coding RNA (300 nucleotides) under Paramuricea clavata. Lineage: Eukaryota; Metazoa; Cnidaria; Anthozoa; Malacalcyonacea; Plexauridae. The record is from RNAcentral.
UUUAUAGAUCUAAGCAACCUGUGAAGAAUCUCCCCAAGUAUCAUUUUAUUCACCACCGUUUGGAGAAAACCAAUGUAUUGAAUGAUCAAAAUUACAUAGAGCAACAUGAGACAGCUAUUGCUCAGUACGCCUCUAUUCCUAAACCAAUAGGAUCAUUACAUUACUGGGCUUCGUGAUGUUAAACAAGAACUAGUUCGGUAUGGUACAUUUUAUAUCGCUACAAAUAUAUGGGUUAUAAACACUAGUUUAGUUACAUAGCCAUAGGGAUUACAUAGUUGGAACGGCAGCAACCAUGCAGAU